AGAGUUUGAUCCUGGCGUCAGGAUGAACGCUGGCGGCGUGCUUAACACAUGCAAGUCGAACGAGAACCAACGGAUUGAGGAUUCGUCCAAAUGAAGUUGGGGAAAGUGGCGGACGGGUGAGUAACGCGUGAGCAAUCUGCCUUGGAGUGGGGAAUAACGGUUGGAAACAGCCGCUAAUACCGCAUGACGCGUCUGGGAGGCAUCUCUCUGGACGCCAAAGAUUUAUCGCUCUGAGAUGAGCUCGCGUCUGAUUAGCUAGUUGGCGGGGCAACGGCCCACCAAGGCGACGAUCAGUAGCCGGACUGAGAGGUUGGCCGGCCACAUUGGGACUGAGACACGGCCCAGACUCCUACGGGAGUCAGCAGUGGGGAAUAUUGGGCAAUGGGCGCAAGCCUGACCCAGCAACGCCGCGUGAAGGAAGAAGGCUUUCGGGUUGUAAACUUCUUUUAAGGGGGACGAACAAAUGACGGUACCCCUUGAAUAAGCCACGGCUAACUACGUG
This 502-nucleotide ribosomal RNA is filed under the name uncultured Oscillospiraceae bacterium. RNAcentral describes it as "bacterial SSU rRNA". It matches the Rfam family "Bacterial small subunit ribosomal RNA", at positions 8 to 507 of the family's 1533-position model. Lineage: Bacteria; Bacillati; Bacillota; Clostridia; Eubacteriales; Oscillospiraceae. The record is from RNAcentral.